AACGCACCUUGCACCCUUUGGUAUUCCGAAGGGUAUGCUCGUUUGAGUGUCAUUGUACUCUCACACUUCCGAUCGUUUGGAUCGGGAGCGGUGGACUUGGGUGUUGCUGCUGUACUGUGGCUCACCUUAAAUGCAGUAGUGCAACUCUCGGUUGGACAUAGUACGGCGUGAUAAGUGUCUUCGCCGGCACCUCCUCACAGAGGGUGGCCGAUCGGGAGCUCUGUGCUUCAAACCGUCUUCGGACAACAUCUGACAACUUGACCUCAAAUCGAGUAGGACUACCCGCUGAACUUAA
Molecule: unclassified non-coding RNA, 295 nt
Filed under: uncultured Sebacina
Lineage: Eukaryota; Fungi; Basidiomycota; Agaricomycetes; Sebacinales; Sebacinaceae
Description: sequence contains ITS2
Source: RNAcentral